This is an RNA transcript of Alligator sinensis (Chinese alligator), 7230 nucleotides long. It is a transcript of the gene named complement receptor type 1-like, with no coding region annotated. The transcript has 15 exons. The record is from RefSeq and is a predicted model, not a curated record. Lineage: Eukaryota; Metazoa; Chordata; Crocodylia; Alligatoridae.
CCGGGCUGCACAAGCUGCCCGGGAUGGUGCAGACGCGGCUGUGCCUGCGCGGCUCCACCUGGUCCCCGCUGGAGCCCUUCUGCGGCCGAAGCUGUAGCAGCCCAGCGAGGGCCAGGUUUGCUCAGCUGUCAGAGGAGGACGAGAAAAAGAGUUUCUACCCUGUUGGGAGCACCGUGCGUUAUAUCUGUCGCCCCGGGUAUGAGAAUGUCACUGCAACGCAGCCAACCAGUACUUGUCUUGAAAAUGUAACCUGGUCAGAUAUCCCCGAGUUGUGUAAAAGGAAAUCUUGCGGUGCUCCAAAAGGACCAGAACAUGGCAGAGCUGCUGUUAUAACAGACUUCCUCUUUGGUGCCAGGAUGAACAUAAUUUGUGACGCGGGGUACCAGUUAAUUGGGCGUCCGUCCAUCAGUUGUCGGUUGAAAGGAGAUCAAGUUGCGUGGAGUGAUCUUCCAACUUGCCAAACAGUCACGGCAACACAACCUGCUACUCCCACAAGUGACCCCCCAGGACGAGCAGACGUGGGUGUUAAUUCCACAGUCACGGCAACACGACCUGCUACUCCCACAAGUGACCCCCCAGGACGAGCAGACGUGGGUGUUAAUUCCACAGGUAGUUGUGGUGCCCCAACAAGUUUAAAGUUUGCUGCUUUAAGUAAGGAAGAUGAGAGGCGAAAUUUUUAUCCCGUUGGGAUUGUUGUGAGAUACACUUGUCGCCCAGGGUUUGAGAACAUCACUGAAACCCCGCCUGUCAGGACAUGCCUUGAAAAUUUAACAUGGUCAGAAGUUCCUGAAUUAUGCAGAAGGAAAUCAUGUGGUCCUCCAAGGGAACUACCCAAUGGCAGAGCUGUUGUUAAAACAGAUUAUUUGUUUGGUGCAAAAGUAAACCUCCUCUGCAAGGAUGGGUAUGAAUUAGUUGGGCAGUCGUUUAUCAACUGUACGUUAAAGGGAGACCAAGUUGAGUGGAGCAAACUUCCAGUUUGCCAAUUGAAAAGUGCACCUGUUGGAAACAGAUCAAAGGCAAAACUAAAUUCAGAUACCUUUCAUGGAUCUAAGAAGUAUGCUGGAACUGAUAUAAAACACUGGUAUUAUAAGAAGCAAUUCCACACCCCAUGGAAGCCAUCCUGCCCUGCUUUCUUAGGCCCCAGAAGCAGCCCGAGGAACAGAGUGUUCGGUAGCUGCGUUAGCCCAUCACCACGUCGGUUUGUUGUGCCAUUGUACACGAAUCGAAUCGACUAUCCUGCUGGAAGCAGUCAUACCUCUCGCUGCCACCACAGUUACAUGGGAAUUUCUGGAAUGUUGCCCAGUGCCACUUGCUUUCAAAAUGCAAGGUGGUCGAAAGUCCCAAUGCUUUGUGGAAAGAGAUCAUGGUCAUCCAGGGGAACCAAAGCAUGGCAGAGCUGCUGUUAUAACCGCUUUCCGAUUCGGUGCAAGAGUACGUAUUACCCAUGAAGAGGGAUAAAUGCUGUACUCUGCUGAGAGGCUUCAAGCUACUGGCGGACUCUGGAAAUCGCAAUACCUGUCCUUAUGGCAUGAAAGCACUCAGGCUAGAAACAGAUCUUGCAUGUAUUCCUGGAAAAGUUGGCCUGUGUUUAUCCUGGAACAAAAAUAUCCUGGGAUUGGUAUGUACAUACAUUAUUAUUUAUUACCCUUCUAAUCACCCUUUAGUGAGCAGCUGAAAACAGUGCUGCUUUUAUGCCAUUGAUUCAAUGAAGCUAUCCCUGGGAAACUGUACGGAUACACUUUGAUAUAACCCAAGAAAAGCUGUUACUACCUUUUAUUUGGGAAACUUGUUUUUUAGGCUUUAUGCUAGGAUAAAGGUCAUGGACAUCUGUAUACUUGUACUCGGCCCUGGGAUAAAAUGGUAUAUCCUGGGAUAAAUGCUGUGUCUGGUUACAGCCUCAAAGCACAGAACAUGACUAAUGCAAAUAGAAAACAGAUCUUUUUUUAGUAACUGGUCUGUGACUAUGAACCUUCAUGCCAGGAGUACUGAGAAUAGCAGUCACAGAAUCGCUUCAGAAUUGCUGUCUUAAAGAGCUGCCUUCAAGAAAUGGGCUAGAGGUAAAACCAAGCAUGCUCUAUUGUUGGUUGGUUAUUACCUUAUUUACUGAUUAAGACAAGGAUUAAGAUGUUACCAAUGCAAAAGGAAUGAUGUGGGAACUGCAGUUACGGGACAGGACAGCUUCAGCCUGUGCUUUAAUACAUUAUUUAUACUCCAGUAUUUAAAACAGACUCAUGGAUUUUUUCCAUACAUUGGUCUAAGCCUUGGGGACUAUUUCCUUAACUUGUUCUAAACAACACAUCCCACUCAGCUUAAAGAUGCACGCUAACCAGCCCUGGUGGGGGUGUAUGUGAGCUGGGCAUGGAUACAAUCGGCCUUUCUGAGAUGUAUAUACCAGUGCAAUCAAUGCUUAUUGUUUCAGUGCUGCUUUAGGUAACUAUGGUGGUUUCUUUUCAUGUAGUAGCUGCAAGCAGGUUUCUUUUCCUAUAGAGAGGGCUGGGGGGACAGAACAACUUCAACGUGUGCUUUAACACAGCACAUGGGACUGAACUCAUCUCGUAUUACAGAAGGACACUGGAAGAGAAGGAGCUUGUGGAGGGGAGUUAGCAAAGCACAGAAAUGACAUCAGCCGUAACACCUCUGACUGUAUGCUAUGCUCUCUGUGAUUUAAAAAGCCCACGUAAUUUAUGAGCUAGAAGGCAGUGAAGUCCUUGAUAUAUUUUUAACCAGCUGCUUGGAAAUGCACUUGAAUAGACACAAACAUGGGAAACUGCUCUUUCUAUUCAUCCAGUUCUGCCUCAAUAAGCAAAAUUGCCAUUGACACAAGGUAGAUAGAGAACCCCCCACAGCUCAGUUAGUAAGACCUGCUCUGGAAGCACAUCAUCCCACAGACCUGACAGCACUCCUUAUGGCUACCUGUAUGCCCUUUUCUAUUUAACAGAGAUGCUUUAAUUGUGCUCCCCAGCUGAAAGAAAAGGGGUGAGUAUCUGUAGUGCUCUUUUUGCUUCAGUUCACAGCUGCUUCUAUGCAGAAACUGCUAAUCCAGAUGAGUUCUGCAGUUACUUUCACUGCUACAGGGACUAGGAAAGGGAACUAAACCCAUUUUAAAGUCACUUCUGUUUCAGAUCUUUAACUUUGAUGUGCAAAACUACAAGAAAUCUGCUCACACCUACUUCCCAUCUGAAUUUUUAGUCACUUGCAUAAAUAUUAAUUUGAAAAUGAAGUGGCUUGGUCUUUUGUUGACAGGGCUAGAGCCAAGCAAAGAACAGCAGAAAGUCUCAUUUGUCAUGUAGAUUAAUGCUGAAACUCUAAUAGCAGGUCUUCCCUGAAGAUGGAAAGCAGCUGGUGAUAUCAGAGGAAGCCUUUCAGGAUUCUUUAGGGUCCAAAAAUCUUUACAGCAUUGCUGGGAAACACUAAUGCAUAUUUCCCUGCAUGUGUUAGUAAUACAGAUCUGCUGCCAGGAUAGUCAGCCACAUGAAAGACAACAGGCAUAUGCUGCCCGUAGUUUUGGCUGUUUAUAUUGCAUGGAACCAAUUUAGAAUUUGGGGAAUUAAAGUUAAGUGACACACAACUUUCCUAGAAUGUUGCAAACGUAAUUUGUAUGUAGAAGAGAUGUCCUCGCUGGCAAUCCAAAGCUCUCUGUUCUAUGGAGUAAUACCUAGCUCUCCUGUGAAGCAAUGCUCUGGCCACUCGAGGCUUGCUCUGUUAACACCGUGCCAAGCAGUCUCUUUUUCCCUUCUAUUUGUCAUGCACCACUUCUUCCCUACAAGAGAUUCACGCAGAUUAAAUACUCUUUUAUUGUGGGUUUACAUAGCAACUUGCUGUCUUGUUUUCUACUGAAUGUGGGCACAGUCCAGCUAAAGGUGGUUACCUUGGAUACCCCACCUUAAUCAGCGGUGACCUUCUGCCUAGGAACUCAAGGCUGUAGUUGAGGAGUAGAGCACAAGAAAUCUUCUCUGCCAGGCUGAGGUAGUGCAAUUGCUUCAUUACGCACGGGGAGUCCUGGAUACCAUGGUGUUAGCCCCAUCAACGACAUAGCCCUGCCAAAUGCCUCUUCAUCAGUGAACUGAUUCUGCUGAAGCCAGUUGAAGUUUAGCUUUUGGCUUCAGUAGCUGCAAGCCCAGGAUCUUACUUCUUUUAGGAAACAAACCAUGCAAGGUGCCAACUGAGCUGGAUUUUCAGCAAGCUGAAUAGGCUGCUACAAGGUCUCUUCUUGUUUUUUAGGGGAAUUGUAUCUAAGCCCAGCCGGACUAUGCUACAACCGUCCCCUCAUUUUUAACGCUGAGAUUUCAGUUCCCUUUAGGAGUUAAUCCAGUUUGUUACCUAGUUGUUUGCUUUUUGUUUUUCCACUGAACAGAAAACAGACUCUUAUCGGGAAGGAGUCUCGGUAAUCUGGAGAUGGAAUGUGUUGCAGACAAUGGUUUAUUUCAUGAGAUCAUUCUUCACUCUGACUAUGCCACCUUUGACUUAUUAUGUUCUUGUCAGGAAUGAGCCAAAGAGAUCUGGAUAAUCUGCCAUAUAAAAACAAACCCACUUAACUGUUACUUUUCCAUUGCAUAAAGGGUGCUAUUACAUGUGCAGAAGUUUUCUGAGCUUUUAAAAACAGGGCUAAUCUGGUAAAUGCCUAUGCACUUAAUUAGAAACAGGAGAGGUUGGGGGAAAUUAGGGGAGCCUUGUAGAAGACAGGUGAGAGACCUGGACUGGCAAUAAGGGUUAAUUUAGGCUAGAAAUCCGAAGCAAGUUUUAACAAUCAUAAGGGUAAUUAAGCUUUGGAGCAAUUUACCAGGGGAUGUGGAGGAUUCUUUCUCAAAAGAGACCCCAGAACUUAUAAAGAAGCCACAGAUUUGGUGAAGAAAUAGUUGGAUGAGAUGCCAUGGUCUGUGCUACACAGGUGGGUCAUAAUAUCUCCUCUGGCUUCUGUGACCUAUCUUUCCCUGAUGGACUGUAACAGGAGCUUAAGGAAAGGGUUAGCUGGGGAUGGGAAAACAGGCUCUGAGUAAUGUUUCCCUCUAAGUAAUAGAUGGUUCCUUUCACAGGUCAUUAAACAGAGAAGAACUGCCUGGGGCGGUGGUGCAAGAAUAAGAUUAUUGAUGUCUCAUUCACUUUCAUGACACAAGCAAUGUGCCUAACCCCAUUGCUGGCUGCACUUGAAAGUGCGUCAAUACCUAGACCUGUUUUCCUCAGAAUUUCUGACAGCCCUUAUCAGCUGGCAGGGCCACCUCCCCUCUGGCAGAGCCACCUCCUCUCUAGGCAAAGUUUCAUUCCAGAGAUUCUAGUCUGAAAGCAGUGGGAUUCUUCUGGCUUGCACGAGGUGUGAAAGCAAUUCAUCCUUGUUUAGGGACAGAUAGCAAUCUGACCCUAAGCAAGCUCCUGUUCACUCUCCCAUAACCAACAGCAGAAUGGAGGGUUUCCAAUAGUACAACAUCACCUGGGUGCUUGCUUGUUAGUAUCUGAGCAGGCCCCAGGACCUGGCAGGUGAGGGUGGGGGAAGUGGGCAGCUCAAGAAAGGAUUCAGUUUUCGUGUGAACUUAGUUUAAUUGUUUUUUAUCCUGAUCAACCAGUUGCUUUGGUUCCUUUUACUUGGCUCAUCUCUUGAAGAAUAUGUCGGCUGUGCAAGAGCAUUAGUGCAAGAUAAACAGGCUGUCCUAGACUCUAGCACCUGAGCAGGAUGCAGUUGCCUGUCACCUGGCUGUACCUGGGUGAGAAGUCAAUACAGCCCCUCAACCUUCAAGCUUUAUGGAAGUUUCCAGUGGAUCCAACGCCGGGAAAGCAACAGUGGAGGAGCUUUCACCAGGGGGCUGGGUGAGGGGUUAGAGAUGUACAGGGAAAUGACUGGUAUGAAGCUGGGGACAACCAGGAUGUCCUUAGUGAGUGUGCUUCUCUGGAAGUAUGACGCAGAGGACGCAAAGCUAUGUGGGGAGGUGGGGGGCAAUUCUGAAAAUAAUUUCCUCAUUCUUGUAACUCUUAUCAUAGGGAGAACAUGGGCAGUGCACGUGACACAUGCCUCUCACCUUGGCUGGGUGAUCAGCUUAAUCUCAGAGUGGAGUUCCUAAGAAGAACAAAGUCAACAACAAGGCUCAUUGGUAUUAAAGGGAAAUCAGCCUGCGGGGACUUCGCGACUGCCAGGUGCCACAGUCUUGUCACCCUCCUCCUCGUCCCUGCUGCUUGCCCUUUGGCCCCCUCGGGCGCCUGCUCUCUGCGCCUGUCUCUUGCAUGCACCUAAGUGGAGAGUACAGGUGAGGGAGUUCAGGGAGCAAGCCCAGCCCUGGGCUAGGAGAGCCCUUGCUGUGUUUGUCGAUCAGGCGCCAUGCGAGAACAUGUAGCUUCGUGUGCUUUGUCCAGAGGCACAACUGGAAGGCAGCGUACAAUUGCACCAUAUAGGCUACCCAAACUACAUAGAUACCUACAUAUACCGACGUAUGGAUAUAACCUAGAUGGGUUAGCCUAUACUGUACAAACCUACCCUGUCUUCCAAACUAUAUUUUUCCCUGGAACAAGUGUAUGUGUAUAUAUAUGUGUGUGUGUGUGUGUGUGCUCACUAACCAAAGUAUGUACAUACUUGUACACAUACUCAUACACAGCCCACAGGCUCUAUUUUUUCCCUGAAUUUUGAGAGAGGCUGCUUUGCUCUCUCUAUAUAGUGACUAGUUCAUAUAGACACAGAGGGCAAGCACAACCUGUCCAUGUUACAUACUGUGUGCAUGUGUGUGUGUGUGUAGCCUCUCUCCCUCUCUCUCUCUCAUACACACAGUGUUUAUAAAAUCCUUGUGCAACUUUAAACUUUAAUAACUUUGGAUGUACACAUGAGAGAAGCAAACUGCAAAUGGUGAUUAAAAGCAUCAUUCAUUCAGUUUUUUAGCAUAGUGUAAGUUAUGCAUAGGGUAAAGAUCCCAAUUCAUGAAAUCAUUCAGCAGCAACUGAAAAAUGUUUGCUAUGAGUUGGAAAAUCAGACUGAACGAUGUAUCCGGAAAGACAGCAGUUAGCUGAAGUCUAGAAAUUUGAGAUGCGUUGUAUUAAAAAUGAAUGGAUGAUGUUUUCUGUCGCCGCAGACGGUUUGCUUCUCUCGUGUGUACAUCCACAGUCGUUGAAGUUUGCAGUUGCAUGAGGACUUUAUAAGUGUGUGUGUGUGUGUGUGCGCGUGUCAGGCCUAGUGGCUGCGGUACUGGGUGUUUAUAAAGUCCUGGUGCAACUUCGUUUUAAGGUGUGCCAGGACUUUACACCCAGUGUGCAGCA